GUCUUCUGAUUGGGUUCCUUUCUGUUUCUUGGUGGCAGUUUAUAGAUUUGCAUGAGAAGAAGUCACGGAACUAGCAUUAUUUUGCCUUCUGUCUUUAUGGAGUAUAUUUGGCUAUUUUGUGAGAUGUUC
Molecule: small nucleolar RNA, 129 nt
Filed under: Microcebus murinus (gray mouse lemur)
Lineage: Eukaryota; Metazoa; Chordata; Mammalia; Primates; Cheirogaleidae
Description: Small nucleolar RNA SNORA75 (ENSMICG00000021890.3)
Source: RNAcentral